AGAGUUUGAUCCUGGCUCAGAGCGAACGCUGGCGGCAGGCUUAACACAUGCAAGUCGAGCGGGCCCUUCGGGGUCAGCGGCAGACGGGUGAGUAACGCGUGGGAACGUGCCCUUCGGUUCGGAAUAACUCAGGGAAACUUGAGCUAAUACCGGAUACGCCCUUUUGGGGAAAGGCUUGACUGCCGAAGGAUCGGCCCGCGUCUGAUUAGCUAGUUGGUGAGGUUAUGGCUCACCAAGGCGACGAUCAGUAGCUGGUCUGAGAGGAUGAUCAGCCACACUGGGACUGAGACACGGCCCAGACUCCUACGGGAGGCAGCAGUGGGGAAUAUUGGACAAUGGGGGCAACCCUGAUCCAGCCAUGCCGCGUGAGUGAUGACGGCCUUAGGGUUGUAAAGCUCUUUUCUCCGGGACGAUAAUGACGGUACCGGAGGAAUAAGCCCCGGCUAACUUCGUG
RNAcentral lists this ribosomal RNA (454 nucleotides) under uncultured Methylobacterium sp. Its description in RNAcentral is "bacterial SSU rRNA". It matches the Rfam family "Bacterial small subunit ribosomal RNA", at positions 8 to 507 of the family's 1533-position model. Lineage: Bacteria; Pseudomonadati; Pseudomonadota; Alphaproteobacteria; Hyphomicrobiales; Methylobacteriaceae. The record is from RNAcentral.